UGGGGAAUAUUGCACAAUGGAGGGAACUCUGAUGCAGCGACGCCGCGCGAACGAAGAAGGCUUUCGAGUCGUAAAGUUCUUUUAUAUGGGAAGAUAAUGACGGUACCAUAAGAAAAAGCCCCGGCUAACUACGUGCCAGCAGCCGCGGUAAUACGUAGGGGGCUAGCGUUGUCCGGAAUCACUGGGCGUAAAGGGUUCGCAGGCGGAAAUGCAAGUCAGGUGUAAAAGGCAGUAGCUUAACUACUGUAAGCAUUUGAAACUGCAUAUCUUGAGAAGAGUAGAGGUAAGUGGAAUUUUUAGUGUAGCGGUGAAAUGCGUAGAUAUUAAAAAGAAUACCGGUGGCGAAGGCGGCUUACUGGGCUCAUUCUGACGCUGAGGAACGAAAGCGUGGGUAGCAAACAGG
Molecule: ribosomal RNA, 403 nt
Filed under: bacterium
Lineage: Bacteria
Description: partial 16S ribosomal RNA
Rfam family: Bacterial small subunit ribosomal RNA
Source: RNAcentral